AAAUUGAAGAGUUUGAUCAUGGCUCAGAUUGAACGCUGGCGGCAGGCCUAACACAUGCAAGUCGAACGGUAGCACAGAGAGCUUGCUCUCGGGUGACGAGUGGCGGACGGGUGAGUAAUGUCUGGGAAACUGCCUGAUGGAGGGGGAUAACUACUGGAAACGGUGGCUAAUACCGCAUAACGUCGCAAGACCAAAGAGGGGGACCUUCGGGCCUCUUGCCAUCAGAUGUGCCCAGAUGGGAUUAGCUUGUUGGUGAGGUAACGGCUCACCAAGGCGACGAUCCCUAGCUGGUCUGAGAGGAUGACCAGCCACACUGGAACUGAGACACGGUCCAGACUCCUACGGGAGGCAGCAGUGGGGAAUAUUGCACAAUGGGCGCAAGCCUGAUGCAGCCAUGCCGCGUGUAUGAAGAAGGCCUUCGGGUUGUAAAGUACUUUCAGCGGGGAGGAAGGUGUUGUGGUUAAUA
Molecule: ribosomal RNA, 466 nt
Filed under: Salmonella enterica subsp. enterica serovar Infantis
Lineage: Bacteria; Pseudomonadati; Pseudomonadota; Gammaproteobacteria; Enterobacterales; Enterobacteriaceae
Also listed under: 1 other name
Description: partial 16S ribosomal RNA
Rfam family: Bacterial small subunit ribosomal RNA
Source: RNAcentral